This is a long non-coding RNA of Brassica napus (rape), 613 nucleotides long. RefSeq lists it as uncharacterized. The record is from RefSeq and is a predicted model, not a curated record. Lineage: Eukaryota; Viridiplantae; Streptophyta; Magnoliopsida; Brassicales; Brassicaceae. The transcript is spliced from 2 exons.
CUCCACCUGUCGCCCCGGAUCAGCCUGCCCCACCGGCUGCAGUUCAUCCCGAUUUGCGGGUGCCAGCUCAUGCACCAUUCGCAAGAUACACCGUCGAGGAUUUGCUUGCCCAGCCCGGACGAGAGGGUUUACACGUUCUGGACCCCGAUAGACCCCCGGGUACUUAUUGGUUUGGGGCUAACAACCGUGUUAGCCGGAGCGUUUCAGAGACGAUGAAGGGAUAUUAUGACGGCCCUUAUCCCAACUGGACCAUGACUCCCGAUCACGUCAAGACGACGUGGUUUAAAUGUUUUGCGGUAAUUAUAUUUACAUAUUAUUAAUAUUUAUAUUGUUAAUUAAAUAAUUAUUAUUUUUUUUUCUAAUCUUUUAAAAUGUUUGUUUUUUCAGCAAAGGUGGAACUGGUCCGUAGGAAUCACCGAGAGGGUGAAGAGCGAAUUUAUUGCAAAGGCGAAAACUCGUCUUUGCAACACCGUCUCCGAUUGGAAGGACAAGUGGGAGAUUUACGGCUAUGAGGGGAAGCCGAGCGGGGUCACAAAGGAAGCAUGGGAUGGCCUCAUCACCUAUUGGAACGAACCCAGCUCCAUCCGCAAAGCCAACUCCUGCUCCGCUUCCC